RNAcentral lists this transfer RNA (43 nucleotides) under Chlorophorus miwai. RNAcentral's name for it is "partial tRNA-Leu". The record is from RNAcentral. Lineage: Eukaryota; Metazoa; Arthropoda; Insecta; Coleoptera; Cerambycidae.
AUGGAAUUAAGCCCCAAACAUAAAGAUUAAACUUUCUUUAGAA